This 460-nucleotide ribosomal RNA is filed under the name uncultured bacterium. Its description in RNAcentral is "partial 16S ribosomal RNA". It matches the Rfam family "Bacterial small subunit ribosomal RNA", at positions 338 to 795 of the family's 1533-position model. The record is from RNAcentral.
CCUACGGGUGGCAGCAGUGAGGAAUAUUGGUCAAUGGACGAGAGUCUGAACCAGCCAAGUAGCGUGAAGGAUGACUGCCCUAUGGGUUGUAAACUUCUUUUAUAUGGGAAUAAAACGUUCCACGUGUGGGCUUUUGUAUGUACCAUAUGAAUAAGGAUCGGCUAACUCCGUGCCAGCAGCCGAGGUAAUACGGAGGAUCCGAGCGUUAUCCGGAUUUAUUGGGUUUAAAGGGAGCGUAGGAGGAUUGUUAAGUCAGUUGUGAAAGUUUGGGGCUCAACCGUAAAAUUGCAGUUGAAACUGGCAGUCUGGAGUGCAGUAGAGGUGGGUGGAAUUCGUGGUGUAGGAGGGAAAUGCGUAGAUAUCACGAAGAACUCCGAUUGCGAAGGCAGUUCACUGGACUGCAACUGACACUGAGGCUCGAAAGUGUGGGUAUCAAACAGGAUUAGAUACCCGAGUAGUC